Molecule: unclassified non-coding RNA, 253 nt
Filed under: uncultured Gammaproteobacteria bacterium
Lineage: Bacteria; Pseudomonadati; Pseudomonadota; Gammaproteobacteria
Description: contains 16S-23S intergenic spacer region
Rfam family: Bacterial small subunit ribosomal RNA
Source: RNAcentral
UACGGAGGGUGCAAGCGUUAAUCGGAAUUACUGGGCGUAAAGCGCGCGUAGGCGGUUUGGUAAGUCAGAUGUGAAAGCCCCGGGCUUAACCUGGGAAUUGCAUCCGAUACUGCUUGGCUAGAGUCUGCUAGAGGGAAGGGGAAUUCCGGGUGUAGCGGUGAAAUGCGUAGAUAUCCGGAGGAACACCAAUGGCGAAGGCAACUUCAUGGGGCAAUACUGACGUUGAGGUGCGAAAGCGUGUGGAGCAAACAGG